Molecule: long non-coding RNA, 918 nt
Organism: Mesocricetus auratus (golden hamster)
Lineage: Eukaryota; Metazoa; Chordata; Mammalia; Rodentia; Cricetidae
Exons: 3
Source: RefSeq, a predicted model, not a curated record
GGGGGCAAUUGGGGCAGAAAAAAUAGUUUCAAUGGUGAGUGAGCCCCACGGCAUGGAAGAAUAGCAGGGAGAGGAGAAAAUAACGUCCCAGGAAACCACAGAAUCGUAUGACUCUGUUGGAAUUCCGAGAAAAUUCUUACAAUACUGGAUUUCUCUGGAGAUGUUCUAUGAGAAAGAAGCUGUCCAUGUUCUUCUAGAGUUCUAAUCAGCAGGAAGAGGAUUCCAGAUUGUUUCACAUUGUGGCUGCCUUCAAGGAGCUUGAGCAGGGUGCUGGCAGAGAGGCAGGGAGGAGCUGGGUAGCCGUGGUGGGAUGAAGAGCUUGUUGGGGGUAGGGUCCAGGCCAUGAGCGUGUAGAGAGUAGCGAGACGUGGAAUUAAGAGAAGGCAGUACGUGUGAAUGCCCUGGGGAGGAAGAGAUCAUCCUCCGGGUGCUGUCAUCUUAAUAGACUAUGCUGUUGGUGUUGCAGUUCUGACUCUACCAACCUGAGGACUCAGACUCCCCUGCCUCUCACCUCCCUUGUCUAGCGGUGAGGAUGACUGUACCAUUUCAUAGGCGAGUUGGUUGAUGGAGAGGGUAGUGUGUCAGCUUCCUACCAUUGUGAGGAAACACCUGAGACAAUCGACUUCAAAGGAUGGAAUGAAAAGAGGAGAGGGAGAAGAGGGCUUCACAAAGCCUAACUUUUCACCAUAACCCACCCACCGUAUGAUGCCACUGCCCCUCAACAGUGGCAAAACAGCCGGCACCCACACCUGUGGCACCCAAGUCCAAGGAGCAAUGUUGAAAUCCACACUCUCGCACCGGUUAAACAGAGAACACACACUACUGAGUGCGUACUAAGCAUUGCUAUCAUCAUGGUCACACGUUUUGAGAUUUUUCUCCUUUGCUCCUAAAUAAAAUUAAAACCCUGCUGACUCUCUU